AAAGGAAUUGACGGGGACCCGCACAAGCAGCGGAGCGUGUGGUUUAAUUCGUUGCUACACGAAGAACCUUACCUGGGUUUGACAUAUAGGUUGUAGGGAACUGAAAAGGGACCGACCCUUCGGGGAGCCUAUACAGGUGCUGCAUGGCUGUCGUCAGCUCGUGUCGUGAGAUGUUCGGUUAAGUCCGCUAACGAGCGCAACCCUCGUCGUAUGUUAUAUGUGUCAUACGAGACUGCCGGUAAAAAGCCGGAGGAAGGUGAGGAUGAUGUCAAGUCAGCAUGACCUUUAUAUCCAGGGCUACACACACGCUACAAUGGUCUGUACAAUGGGUAGCCAAGCCGCGAGGCGGAGCCAAUCCUGAAAGCAGGCCUCAGUUCAGAUUGCAGUCUGCAACUCGACUGCAUGAAGCCGGAGUUGCUAGUAACCGCAGGUCAGCAAUACUGCGGUGAAUACGUUCCCGGGUCUU
This 466-nucleotide ribosomal RNA is filed under the name uncultured Anaerolineaceae bacterium. RNAcentral's name for it is "bacterial SSU rRNA". It matches the Rfam family "Bacterial small subunit ribosomal RNA", at positions 903 to 1382 of the family's 1533-position model. Lineage: Bacteria; Bacillati; Chloroflexota; Anaerolineae; Anaerolineales; Anaerolineaceae. The record is from RNAcentral.